This 253-nucleotide ribosomal RNA is filed under the name uncultured bacterium. RNAcentral describes it as "partial 16S ribosomal RNA". It matches the Rfam family "Bacterial small subunit ribosomal RNA", at positions 524 to 776 of the family's 1533-position model. The record is from RNAcentral.
CCCGGAGGGGGCAAGUGUUAUUCAACAUGACUGGGCGUCCAGGACACGUAGGCUGUUUUUUAAAACUAAGUGAAAAUGAUAAGGUUACUGCUUGUCCUGCUUUUUUUUUAUUUAACUUGGGUGCUAAGAACAGGUUUGUCGAACUCCUUUGGUAAAGAUAAAAUUUUUAGAUCUUAGGAAGACGGCCAAAAGUGAAGGCAACAAACCAGCUAAGCACUGACGCUGAGGUGUGAAAGCGUGGGGAUCAAACGGG